RNAcentral lists this ribosomal RNA (636 nucleotides) under uncultured bacterium. RNAcentral's name for it is "bacterial SSU rRNA". The stretch from base 1 to 544 matches the Rfam family "Bacterial small subunit ribosomal RNA", at positions 338 to 873 of the family's 1533-position model. The record is from RNAcentral.
CCUACGGGAGGCAGCAGUGGGGAAUUUUGGACAAUGGGGGCAACCCUGAUCCAGCCAUUCCGCGUGAGUGAAGAAGGCCUUCGGGUUGUAAAGCUCUUUCGCAAGGGAAGAAAACUUAUGAUCGAAUAAAUCAUGAGGUUGACGGUACCUUGAUAAGAAGCACCGGCUAACUACGUGCCAGCAGCCGCGGUAAUACGUAGGGUGCGAGCGUUAAUCGGAAUUACUGGGCGUAAAGCGUGCGCAGGCGGUUUUGUAAGUCGGAUGUGAAAUCCCCGGGCUCAACCUGGGAACUGCGUUCGAAACUGCAAGGCUAGAGUGUGUCAGAGGGGGGUAGAAUUCCACGUGUAGCAGUGAAAUGCGUAGAGAUGUGGAGGAAUACCAAUGGCGAAGGCAGCCCCCUGGGAUAACACUGACGCUCAUGCACGAAAGCGUGGGGAGCAAACAGGAUUAGAUACCCUGGUAGUCCACGCCCUAAACGAUGUCAACUAGUUGUUGGUAGAGUAAAAUCUAUAAGUAACGUAGCUAACGCGUGAAGUUGACCGCCGCGGGAGGUACGGUCGGCGAGAAGUUAAACGUUAACGUUAAAGAAGUUAGUUAGGUUCGUGNGAGNGCGACGGACGACGACGAGGGAGGAGG